Long non-coding RNA from Girardinichthys multiradiatus, 4050 nucleotides. RefSeq lists it as uncharacterized. The record is from RefSeq and is a predicted model, not a curated record. Lineage: Eukaryota; Metazoa; Chordata; Actinopteri; Cyprinodontiformes; Goodeidae. The transcript has 8 exons.
AGCGUCAUUAACCAACCUCUGAUCAAUAAGGUUCUGGUUGCUACCCGAGUCAAUAAGAGCGGAAAGAUUCUGAAAAGGACGGUGUGAAAUUAACGUGGCUGGCAAACUAAGUCUGGGGGUAAGAGAUCGGUCCGUCAGUCUCCCCUCAUUUUCUGACAGACCUGGCCUUUUGGCCCCGAGGGACGAAUUGGGCAGUUGGCAAGGAGAUGUUCUGGUGAGCCACAGUAAAAACACUGGUUAGAUUGGUGGCAUCUCAGUUUUUCCUCUGGGGAAAGACGAGUACGCCCAAUCUGCAUAGGUUCUAUUCCUAAACUUUGUGAAACUGAGGUGGGGCGAAUAGUUUCAGUGGUUUGGCUAGAGAGAUGGGACCUAACUGCGCUCUGUUCUAAUCGGGAUUUCUUUCUCUCUCUCAUUCGGUUAUCUAGUCUAACGGCUAACUUGAUUAACCCAUUCAAGGUCUUGGGCUCGUCGACCAAUGCUAACUCAUCCUUUAACGGAUCAUUUAAGGACUGGAAAAAGGCAGCUCUAAGAGCGCAGUCAUUCCAUCCAGAGGCUGCUGCAAGGAUGCGAAAAUCAAUGGAGAACUCAGCAACUGACUGGUUUCUUUGUUUGAUAUACCAUAAUUUCCGAGCAUCUGCGGUUAAGUCAUUUUCACAGGAAAAGACCUGUCGAAACUCCUCCUCAAACUCAGGGAAUGUACAACCAAAGUCCAAUCAUUUAGAAAAAUGCGCCUCUGCCCAUUGCAGGGCCUUUCCAGUGAGUAAUCCCAGAACAAAUAAAAUCUUUACAGAAUCACGUGGGAAAGAUUGUGGGGAGCGAUUGAAAACAAGAGUACAUUGGAGGAGGAAACCCUUACAAUCCCCUUUCUCCCCCGGAUAAUUUUUCAGGAUUAGGGGAAGGGACAUCACGAGAGUGCGGAAGUUGCUGCGAGACCAGAGAGGGUGAAGCACCCUCUACGGCCUGGGCGGUGAAAUUGCUCAAGGUCUGCUGAAACAUGGAGGCUAGUUCGACUUGCUGAUUGGUUUGUUUCUGCUGUUCAAAAAGAGAACGGAGGGAUGAGUCAUGGGUUAUGAUUUGGUGGUGUUGUUCAGAAAGAGUUCUCCUGAAUGCUUCUGCUAGGACGGGAUGGCCAGAGUGUUCUGUCAUAAUGUUUCAAACAGUUUUGACCCACAUGCAGAAAGCAAUUCAGGAGACUGAGUUUAACGGUAAUGAGUUUAUUUACAAUGUAAGGAAAUGUGCAGGGAACUGGAACUGGGAUACCAACUGUAAAAUAAACAGAACAGUAAGCAAGGAGUAACUCAGGAUCUGAAUUCUUAAAUAAUAAUUCUGUCUUACUGGAUAGAUGGGGAGAUCCGCCAGAGGGGGGUGGAGAGACCAAAGGGUUGUUUAUCCGUGAGACUGAGGAUGGUGAAUACUGGUGUGCCAGGAUGGUUAGCUGGUCCAAGAGUUUCUGAAGUUGGUGCAGUGGAUGGAGGAGGGUGGACAGGGUUCAUGGAGGGUGAUCCAAGGAGCGAAGAAAUCAGGAGGCUGCCAGCCGGUGUGAUCAAACGAAGUAACAAGAGGCUUGUGUCUUUGUUCAUGGAGCUGGAUCGCUUCUUUCCAGGAGAGGGUAAUCCAGACAGCGUUCAAUGCAGAAGGCAAAGUCAGGUUCAGGUAAUCCUGCAAGGUAACAGACACUGAUUACCUAAAGGUCAAGGCAAGGACAAGACAAAGGUAAUGUGGCUAAAGCUGUACCACUAAAGGCAACACUAUGGCAGUGAGUUGCUGGCAGCCUCCUCCUUAAAUAUUCCUCAGCAGGUAAUCAGGAGAAUAGAAAACACCUGUCACCUCUCCUCCAGGUUCCAUGCCAUCUAGAGGUUAAGCAUAGUAAACAGCACCAAACAAACAGACAUGGCUCAGAUCCUGACAUUUGUCCUUUUUUGUCAUUCUACAGUGUGUUAUUUAUUUAGAUAUUUUAUAAAAACCUUUGAAAGAACUGUUAAAGGUGGCAUUUAUUGUUAUCUUAAUACUUAAAAACACUGCUCAGACAUUUGUGGCCAAACCUAUUAAGAGCCACUGUGAAGUGCCUAAAGAGCCACAGGUUGCAGACCCCUAGUUUAGGUGGAAUGGUAAAUGCUUUAGCAGCACAGCAAAAACUAGAGUUGAAAAUUCAAAGUUAAAUGUUUCGGAGUUAAUUUUAACUCAUUAAGUGUUGUUUUAACAUAUCGAUUUAAAUGGUGACCAGUGUUUGAGCUAUUUCCCAGAGUUGUUUGCAUCGGUGUUGAAAAUAAUCUCCUUCCCCAUCUUCAAAGUCUUGGUUAAGUUCAGUCUGAAAACUGCUCCAUUCUGUUCUUCUCCUGCUGUUGUACACGGUAAGUGCAACUUCCUAAAUCUUCGGUCGACCAGUGUUAAAUUGAUGGAGUGAGUGAUGUGACUUUUUCUACUAAUUAAUACUUAACUGAAUGGCAGCUGAACGCAUCCAUUUUGCAAAAAAUGCACACAAUGUGCUAGCUAGCUGCCCCACGUGUGGGUUACUAGGUAGCAACUGCAGCACUUACAACUGUAACACUGUUGUAGCUCUAACUCUUACAAAAAAAUUAUUUAUCAGACCAUAUACUUAUGAAAAAUUAAGUUUUGUGUUUUUUUGCCAUUUAAAAUCAUGAGUUUGGCUGUGGGAAUGUAAAGGCUCCUGCCUAUUAGCCUUCUCAGUGGGACCGCUGAGACCUGCCCCAACCUCCAGACCAGCAUUGCACAAUGAGGGGAGAACUUGACUUGUGUUGUUUUGCAUUGUCUAGGUUAAUUCCAUGCCUCAGUACAAUGCUGAUCCAGGUUAAGUAUGGUGAGCAGCACAAGUAUGUGAAGUUGGAUGAGGGUGAAGGGCAUUUUGACUUUCAUCAGUUCCAUGAGAAAGUAAUUGGCAUCAGGCGGCAGGCAAAAUCUUUCAAAGUUACAUACAAGGAUGCAAAAGAUACUGAGGUUGAUGAAGAAAUAUUCAGUGAACUCAUUAGACAAGGCUGUGUUGUGCUGAAAGCUGUCUGCCACGAUGAGUUCUCAGAAUGGUCAUCUGCUUCUGAGUCUGACUCGAGCUUCAGCUCAAAUGCAUCAAGAUCAACAGUACUGAUGGAUGAGAUCCCAAGCAAGAAGCAAAAAGCUGAGAAUGCUAAUAAUGCUGUGUCUGCUAAAAAAGCUGGUUGAAGGUGUCCUACAGAGCAAGUCUGGUGGUGAAGAGGUUCUGCAGGAGUAUAAAACAACAGAAACCCUACCUGAUGCCACAAGAUGAAAAAUGGCACCUCCCUGCUAAAGCAGUCAGAGAGGAGUAUGCCCUGGUGAUAGUGACAGUCUUCCCAUCCCUCAAGGAUCCAUAUACCAAAAAAGGCUAUGAGCACUUUUAUGAUGCAGCAAGCAGCACAGGAUACAUUUCUUGGCGUCUUAGAACAGUACAAAGGAAGAUUCGAAGAGGAUCUCUUGUGCCACCAAGUAGCUCCAGUGACAUUUCAUCUGGAGGUCCAAAUACCCAGAGGACGAUGAUUGUUGACAGACAGCUUGAUGGGGAGCCAGGAGGCCUUAUCUCUGCUUAACCACACCACAGACAUGUCCCUGAUAUUUCAGAAGAUGAGAGAGACUUUUGAGCAUCGUCAGAAACUUAUUAAAGAUGCCAAUGGAAGAACUGAUAUUCUGACGACGUUCCCCAGGUUCCUUGACACAAAAGGAUUGAGUGAUCAAGACUUUAGUCUUCUAUUUAAUGAAGAAACCUCCUCAAGAUUGCUGCAGAAGUGGGACGUGUUCUUCACACCAAAUGUCAUCAAAGAAGCCAAUCAUCUCACUUCAACUCCUGAGUUGAGAAGUUUGGUGCAGUCAGCAGAAAGCCCUCAAGGAUAUGAUCAGGACAGGGCAUCCACCUAUGACCAAGAACUGGCCUCCUUGUUGCUGCUCUUACAUCUCCUUCCACCACCACCAGGAGGACUUCCCAUGAUGCCACUGGCCGUAUAAACCCCCACUUUUCCAAUGGUCCGAUCUCUUCUACACAGGUCACACAGGGACCUGGACAGAGAGGCCCAGCGCGCUAAUCUC